Molecule: long non-coding RNA, 232 nt
Filed under: Nicotiana benthamiana
Lineage: Eukaryota; Viridiplantae; Streptophyta; Magnoliopsida; Solanales; Solanaceae
Description: long non-coding RNA (NBEN_LNC000909)
Source: RNAcentral
UUUUGCUUUUUUGUAUUACCUGGGGAGCUGGUUUUUCCACGAUGUGAAACUGUAUCACCACACACCAGUUCUAAUUUCGUAUGAUCAUCAUUCUCGCCAUGGUCCCGUUCCACGACCAAGGGAUCAAAAGAAUUAGCACACCUAAUAUCUGCAACUUCCUGUUUUGUAUGAUCUGUUUAUUAGGUGAUACAGCUGACUAAUCUUUAGCCCCAUUAUAUUAGGAUUAAUGUUC